CCGGUACACAGCCCAUACAGGUGCUGAAGUUCUCCCCCGACGGGCAGUACCUGGCGGUGGGGUCGCGUGACGGGAGCAUCUACGUCUACCAGGUCAUGGACGAUCUCACGCGCUUCGCCAGGCUCGGCAAGUGUCAGGGCCACAGCAGUGCUGUGCUGCACCUUGACUGGUCAGUGGACAGUCAAUACCUGCAGUCAAACUCUACGGACUACGACCUCCU
Long non-coding RNA from Hyalella azteca, 220 nucleotides. RefSeq lists it as uncharacterized. The transcript is spliced from 3 exons. The record is from RefSeq and is a predicted model, not a curated record. Lineage: Eukaryota; Metazoa; Arthropoda; Malacostraca; Amphipoda; Hyalellidae.